CAUGUACUCCCUCCGUCCAGAAAUACUUGUCGAAGAAAUGCAUAAAAAUGGAUGUAUCUAGAACUAAAAUACGUCUAGAUACGUCCGUUCCUCCGACAAAUAUUUCCGAACGGAGGGAGUACAUG
Molecule: non-coding RNA, 125 nt
Organism: Triticum aestivum (bread wheat)
Lineage: Eukaryota; Viridiplantae; Streptophyta; Magnoliopsida; Poales; Poaceae
Source: Rfam